GCUGGGGUGGUCUAGUGGUAUGAUUCUGGGACAGCAGGCCUGAAACCGGAGACGCCAGUUCGAAUCUGGCUCCCGGCA
Molecule: transfer RNA, 78 nt
Filed under: Hypoxylon rubiginosum
Lineage: Eukaryota; Fungi; Ascomycota; Sordariomycetes; Xylariales; Hypoxylaceae
Description: tRNA-Cys
Rfam family: tRNA
About the family: Transfer RNA (tRNA) molecules are approximately 80 nucleotides in length. Their secondary structure includes four short double-helical elements and three loops (D, anti-codon, and T loops).
Source: RNAcentral